UCCUAAGAGCUCCUAUCGACGGAGUCGUUUGGCACCUCGAUGUCGACUCAUCACAUCCUGGAGCUGAAGAAGGUACCAAGGGUUCGGCUGUUCGCCGAUUAAGUGGUACGUGAGUUGGGUUUAGAACGUCGUGAGACAGUUUGGUUCCUAUCUUCUAUAGAUAUUUUGAAAAAUGAAAGAAUCUAACUCUAGUACGAGAGGACCGAGAAGGGUAAAUCUCUGGUGUAUCGGUUGUUAAAAGGCAUCGCCGAGUAGCUAAAUUUAUUUUGGAUAAUUACUGAAAGCAUCUAAGUAAGAAACCAUUCUUAAAAAUUUUUCAUAUAAAAACUGUAAAAGACGAUUACAUUAAUAGGUUUUAAGUGUAAGUGUUGUAAAAUAUUUAGCUUAAAAAUACUAAAAGUUUUAAAAAUUAAAAUAU
This is a non-coding RNA of 418 nucleotides. It matches the Rfam family "Bacterial large subunit ribosomal RNA", at positions 2490 to 2925 of the family's 2925-position model.